Molecule: ribosomal RNA, 253 nt
Filed under: uncultured bacterium
Lineage: Bacteria
Description: partial 16S ribosomal RNA
Rfam family: Bacterial small subunit ribosomal RNA
Source: RNAcentral
UACAGAGGUCUCAAGCGUUGUUCGGACUCAUUGGGCGUAAAGGGCGUGUAGGUGGCGCGCUAAGUCGGGUGUGAAAUUUCGGAGCUUAACUCCGAAACUGCAUUCGAUACUGGCGUGCUUGAGGACUGGAGAGGAGACUGGAAUUCAUGGUGUAGCAGUGAAAUGCGUAGAGAUCAUGAGGAAGACCAGUGGCGAAGGCGGGUCUCUGGACAGUUCCUGACACUGAGACACGAAGGCCAGGGGAGCAAACGGG